RNAcentral lists this transfer RNA (86 nucleotides) under Lentisphaerota bacterium. Its description in RNAcentral is "Lentisphaerae bacterium (freshwater metagenome) tRNA-Leu". It matches the Rfam family "tRNA". Rfam says of the family: Transfer RNA (tRNA) molecules are approximately 80 nucleotides in length. Their secondary structure includes four short double-helical elements and three loops (D, anti-codon, and T loops). The record is from RNAcentral. Lineage: Bacteria; Pseudomonadati; Lentisphaerota.
GCCAGGGUGGCGAAAUGGCAGACGCAGUGGACUCAAAAUCCACCGGUGGCAACACCGUGAGGGUUCGACUCCCUCCCCUGGCACCA